AGCAGUCGCCACGGGAAUACGUAGGUGGCAAGCGUUGUCCGGAAUUAUUGGGCGUAAAGCGCGCGCAGGUGGUUUAAUAAGUCUGAUGUGAAAGCCCACGGCUCAACCGUGGAGGGUCAUUGGAAACUGUUAAACUUGAGUGCAGGAGAGAAAAGUGGAAUUCCUAGUGUAGCGGUGAAAUGCGUAGAGAUUAGGAGGAACACCAGUGGCGAAGGCGGCUUUUUGGCCUGUAACUGACACUGAGGCGCGAAAGCGUGGGGAGCAAACAGGAUUAGAUACCCCAGUAGUCCCUGUCUCUUAUAC
RNAcentral lists this ribosomal RNA (303 nucleotides) under uncultured bacterium. RNAcentral's name for it is "partial 16S ribosomal RNA". It matches the Rfam family "Bacterial small subunit ribosomal RNA", at positions 507 to 807 of the family's 1533-position model. The record is from RNAcentral.